Molecule: non-coding RNA, 211 nt
Filed under: Streptomyces pristinaespiralis ATCC 25486
Lineage: Bacteria; Bacillati; Actinomycetota; Actinomycetes; Kitasatosporales; Streptomycetaceae
Description: Streptomyces RNA 1601
Rfam family: Streptomyces RNA 1601
About the family: Identified by deep sequencing of transcriptome at the end of exponential growth phase. Appears longer on northern blot than sequencing transcript. Streptomyces specific.
Source: Rfam by way of RNAcentral
GACGACCGGCUGGACACGUCCGUGUCCGGCCCACAAGUGGAGGCUCCGAUCUCCCACCUGGCUGUCCCUCGGGACGGCGGGUCACCGGUCAGGCGGCCACCAUCGUUCCGUACGGACGAUGGAGUCGCCCGAUGUGCGCCCCGCGGUGGACCGCGGCGGUGCUCCGGUAUUCAUUGGAGCUGCCGCCUGUGUCCCGACCGGGGCAUUUUUG